This is a long non-coding RNA of Solanum dulcamara, 1420 nucleotides long. RefSeq lists it as uncharacterized. The record is from RefSeq and is a predicted model, not a curated record. The transcript has 3 exons. NCBI's taxonomy places the organism in Eukaryota, Viridiplantae, Streptophyta, Magnoliopsida, Solanales, Solanaceae.
AAAUUUUCUGUGGAUGCAGAUUUAUAAAGAUGUCAAAGAUCAUCCUAUUCCUCUGUUCAGCAAAUACAGAGAAAUCAAAAGAACAAAUAGCGCCCAAAACCAAUAAUUUUUCUUUGAAAGGAGGAAAGUCUUUGAGGUUCAUAAAAAAAAUAUUCAAAAUACAAGUAACGAUGCCUCUUUCAAAUCAACGGCAAAACAUGAGCAUUAACGAACACAAAGUAUUCGAAAUUGAGAGCGAUAUUUUCACACUAGUGUCGAAGUGAUUAGGCACUUUGUACACAUUCUUAAGAAUUUUUCCUCAAGUAACAAGAGCCCUAAGAAAGUGGUCCCAUCUACAGAGUUGGCAAUUUCGGUACAUCCAUUGUUACCAAUCUCGUGCAUCUCCCUCUAGAAAGAAAGAGCAUACAUUCAAGCGUUGCUCAUCUGGAACAUUGUAAGUGUCAAAACACUAAUGAGCUUGGAAAUCCCAACUCUCUGCGUUGGUACCAUCAAACUUAGAUAAGUCAAUCAGUGCAGAUUUAUCACGUCGAAAUGGAUUAAGGGCAUGGGGUGGAACUGGAAGCACCUGGUGUGGGGGUUGCCGAUUCAGUGUGGGUGUUGGUGUAGUAUGCUGAUAAAAAGUUUGUGGAAGUGGCAUAAAUGACUUAGUUUGCUGAUUCAAUGUGGGUUAGAGACGGCGCCGGAGGCGAAGGGUGCAAUGAAGCCAGUUGAGUUACAAUUUCUUGUAAGGUAGUGUUGAUGAAGCCAACGACUUUAGAGUGGCCAACAAAUUGUUCUUGAAGUUGUUUCACAGCCUCAUCAAGAGAUUUCAGACAAGUGUUGUGUGCACCAUCACCCAUGGUAGAAGGAGGGACAAUGAAAGCACCAAAUGUAACAAGAGGAACUUUGUAUUAAAGAUAAAUUGAUUGCAGGUCACAAGAGGAACAGGUCCUCUUCUUCAGGGAAUAACAAAAGGCAAAACAAAGGAAAAAAGAAGAAAAGGGAGGUUCCAGAUCUGAUUCUAAGCAACAAAAAGAGAAGCAAGUUCAUCCAUGGCCUUCUUUAGUGAAAUCUGUCACUAUUUAUACUACUCUAGCAGCUAUUGCUCUUGCUUCUUUGCUUACAUCUCAGGCAGAGUUUGUUUUCCUUUUGCAUCUGGGACUACAUACUGAUCCAAGUAUUGUGGCACCCGUUUGUACAUGGUUACUUUGCAAAGUGAAUAUUUCUUCAGAUAGGAGGAACUUUGAGGGUUAGAAUUAGAACUUAGAAGAAUGGUGUUUGGUCAAGUAGUGAUUGCCCCCCUGUUUUCGGCAAAAUCACUUAUUGCAACGGGAUGUCUCAGUUCCUCCAGCUGAUCGGACGCUAAGCGGAUAGAGUUAUUGCUGGUGGGACCAAGGGUGGCUCAAUAGAAUGAGUGGCCUAAAGCUAAAAUUUAGAAACG